Cyclopterus lumpus (lumpfish) is the source of this 291-nucleotide long non-coding RNA. RefSeq lists it as uncharacterized. The record is from RefSeq and is a predicted model, not a curated record. Lineage: Eukaryota; Metazoa; Chordata; Actinopteri; Perciformes; Cyclopteridae. The transcript is spliced from 3 exons.
CUUAAAAAUGUCUCUCUUCAGUUCCUUCCAGUUGUCAGCCUGGUUCAGUUGUGUUGUUUGGUAGGAGCUGACAGAAGUGAUUGAGUUUACUGCUUCACUGGCCUACAACUAGCUGAAGCCAUGGGGUUUCUCUUUAGAUGGUUUCUGUUGUCCUUGCUAGCUGUUGGAAGGCAUCAAGCGAGUGGUUUCAGUAUUGGAUCUGCUGAGAAGCAUGAAGAUGAUGAUGAUGAUGUACCAGUUAUAGACUAUCAUCCAUAUUCGGGUAGCUUUAAAACUGGAGACGGAUCUUCA